UGCAAGUCGACGAUGAAGCCGCUUCGGUGGUGGAUUAGUGGCGAACGGGUGAGUAACACGUGGGCAAUCUGCCCUGCACUCUGGGACAAGCCCUGGAAACGGGGUCUAAUACCGGAUAUGAUCACCGGCCGCAUGGUCUGGUGGUGGAAAGCUCCGGCGGUGCAGGAUGAGCCCGCGGCCUAUCAGCUUGUUGGUGGGGUGAUGGCCUACCAAGGCGACGACGGGUAGCCGGCCUGAGAGGGCGACCGGCCACACUGGGACUGAGACACGGCCCAGACUCCUACGGGAGGCAGCAGUGGGGAAUAUUGCACAAUGGGCGCAAGCCUGAUGCAGCGACGCCGCGUGAGGGAUGACGGCCUUCGGGUUGUAAACCUCUUUCAGCAGGGAAGAAGCGCAAGUGACGGUACCUGCAGAAGAAGCACCGGCUAACUACGUGCCAGCAGCCGCGGUAAUACGUAGGGUGCGAGCGUUGUCCGGAAUUAUUGGGCGUAAAGAGCUCGUAGGCGGCCUGUCACGUCGGAUGUGAAAGCCCGGGGCUUAACCCCGGGUCUGCAUUCGAUACGGGCAGGCUAGAGUUCGGUAGGGGAGAUCGGAAUUCCUGGUGUAGCGGUGAAAUGCGCAGAUAUCAGGAGGAACACCGGUGGCGAAGGCGGAUCUCUGGGCCGAUACUGACGCUGAGGAGCGAAAGCGUGGGGAGCGAACAGGAUUAGAUACCCUGGUAGUCCACGCCGUAAACGUUGGGAACUAGGUGUGGGCGACAUUCCACGUCGUCCGUGCCGC
RNAcentral lists this ribosomal RNA (780 nucleotides) under Streptomyces sp. RNAcentral describes it as "bacterial SSU rRNA". It matches the Rfam family "Bacterial small subunit ribosomal RNA", at positions 56 to 849 of the family's 1533-position model. The record is from RNAcentral. Lineage: Bacteria; Bacillati; Actinomycetota; Actinomycetes; Kitasatosporales; Streptomycetaceae.